This 82-nucleotide transfer RNA is filed under the name Heterobasidion irregulare TC 32-1. It matches the Rfam family "tRNA". Rfam says of the family: Transfer RNA (tRNA) molecules are approximately 80 nucleotides in length. Their secondary structure includes four short double-helical elements and three loops (D, anti-codon, and T loops). Lineage: Eukaryota; Fungi; Basidiomycota; Agaricomycetes; Russulales; Bondarzewiaceae. The record is from Rfam by way of RNAcentral.
UCCGAUAUGGUGUAACGGCUAACAUUGCCGCCUUUCAUUCCUUUGAUCGCGGCAGCUCGGGGUUCGAUUCCCCGUAUCGGAA